RNAcentral lists this unclassified non-coding RNA (224 nucleotides) under Borreliella burgdorferi (Lyme disease spirochete). RNAcentral describes it as "partial miscellaneous RNA". Lineage: Bacteria; Pseudomonadati; Spirochaetota; Spirochaetia; Spirochaetales; Borreliaceae. The record is from RNAcentral.
GUAGGUUAUUGCCAGGGUUUUAUUUUUAUACUUUAAACUUUGAUUUUAUUUUUAUGUUUUUUAAAUAUUGGUGUUUUUGAAUGUGUUGUUUAAAUAACAUAAAAAAUAAAAUAUAUAUUGACAUGUAUUAAACAAAGAUAUAUAUUAUUUUAUGUUGUAUAAAUAAAUUGGCAAAAUAGAGAUGGAAGAUAAAAAUAAAACCCUGGCAAUAACCUACUCAAAGG